UGGGGAAUUUUGGACAAUGGGGGCAACCCUGAUCCAGCAAUGCCGCGUGAAGGAUGAAGUAUUUCGGUAUGUAAACUUCGUAAGAAUAGGAAGAAUAAAUGACGGUACUAUUUGUAAGGUCCGGCUAACUACGUGCCAGCAGCCGCGGUAAUACGUAGGGACCAAGCGUUGUUCGGAUUUACUGGGCGUAAAGGGCGCGUAGGCGGCGUGGUAAGUCAUCUGUGAAAUUUCCGAGCUUAACUCGGAACGGUCAGAUGAUACUGCUGUGCUAGAGUACAGAAGGGGCAAUCGGAAUUCUUGGUGUAGCGGUGAAAUGCGUAGAUAUAGGAAGGAACACCAGUGGCGAAGGCGACCACCUGGACUGAUACUGACACUGAGGUGCGAAAGCGUGGGGAGCAAACAGGAUUAGAUACCCCCGUAGUCCCUGAGCGGGCUGGCAAGGCGCAU
This 447-nucleotide ribosomal RNA is filed under the name uncultured bacterium. Its description in RNAcentral is "bacterial SSU rRNA". It matches the Rfam family "Bacterial small subunit ribosomal RNA", at positions 355 to 825 of the family's 1533-position model. The record is from RNAcentral.